Molecule: ribosomal RNA, 404 nt
Filed under: uncultured bacterium
Lineage: Bacteria
Description: bacterial SSU rRNA
Rfam family: Bacterial small subunit ribosomal RNA
Source: RNAcentral
UGGGGAAUAUUGCACAAUGGGGGAAACCCUGAUGCAGCGACGCCGCGUGAGUGAAGAAGUAAUUCGUUAUGUAAAGCUCUAUCAGCAGGGAAGACGAAGACGGUACCUGACUAAGAAGCACCGGCUAAAUACGUGCCAGCAGCCGCGGUAAUACGUAUGGUGCAAGCGUUAUCCGGAUUUACUGGGUGUAAAGGGUGCGUAGGUGGCAUGGCAAGUCAGAAGUGAAAGCACGGGGCUCAACCCCGUAACUGCUUUUGAAACUGUCAGGCUUGAGUACAGGAGAGGAAAGCGGAAUUCCUGGUGUAGCGGUGAAAUGCGUAGAUAUCAGGAGGAACACCGGUGGCGAAGGCGGCUUUCUGGACUGUAACUGACACUGAGGCACGAAAGCGUGGGGAGCAAACAGG